GACGAACGCUGGCGGCGUGCUUAACACAUGCAAGUCGAACGGGAAGGCCCUGCUUUUGUGGGGUGCUCGAGUGGCGAACGGGUGAGUAACACGUGAGUAACCUGCCCUUGACUUUGGGAUAACUUCAGGAAACUGGGGCUAAUACCGGAUAGGAGCUCCUGCUGCAUGGUGGGGGUUGGAAAGUUUCGGCGGUUGGGGAUGGACUCGCGGCUGAUCAGGUUGUUGGUGGGGUAGUGGCUUACCAAGGCUUUGACGGGUAGCCGGCCUGAGAGGGUGACCGGCCACAGUGGGACUGAGAUACGGCCCAGACUCGUACGGGAGGCAGCAGUGGGGAAUAUUGCACAAUGGGCGGAAGCCUGAUGCAGCAACGCCGCGUGCGGGAUGACGGCCUUCGGGUUGUAAACCGCUUUCGCCUGUGACGAAGCGUGAGUGACGGUAAUGUGUAAAGAAGCACCGGCUAACUACGUG
Molecule: ribosomal RNA, 468 nt
Filed under: uncultured bacterium
Lineage: Bacteria
Description: partial 16S ribosomal RNA
Rfam family: Bacterial small subunit ribosomal RNA
Source: RNAcentral